UAGGGUAUAAGAGCAAUUGCCAUGAUAUCUAACAAGUGAAUGAGUUUGCCCAUCCAAUGUCCUCAUGCAUGCAGACCUAUAAGAUUUCUUGCCAUUAAUCUAAACAUUGUGCCAACUUCAAUAGAAGGAAGCAAUGGAGACACCAACAUCAAUGGAAACUGUAGAUGAAUGAUAGGUUACAAUUAUUAAAUUGUCAUACU
This 200-nucleotide long non-coding RNA is filed under the name Vitis vinifera (wine grape). Its description in RNAcentral is "long non-coding RNA (VVIN_LNC001082)". Lineage: Eukaryota; Viridiplantae; Streptophyta; Magnoliopsida; Vitales; Vitaceae. The record is from RNAcentral.